GUCGAGCGGUAGCACAGAGAGCUUGCUCUCGGGUGACGAGCGGCGGACGGGUGAGUAAUGUCUGGGAAACUGCCUGAUGGAGGGGGAUAACUACUGGAAACGGUAGCUAAUACCGCAUAACGUCGCAAGACCAAAGUGGGGGACCUUCGGGCCUCUUGCCAUCAGAUGUGCCCAGAUGGGAUUAGCUAGUAGGUGGGGUAACGGCUCACCUAGGCGACGAUCCCUAGCUGGGCUGAGAGGAUGACCAGCCACACUGGAACUGAGACACGGUCCAGACUCCUACGGGAGGCAGCAGUUGGGAAUAUUGCACAAUGGGCGCAAGCCUGAUGCAGCCAUGCCGCGUGUGUGAAGAAGGCCUUCGGGUUGUAAAGCACUUUCAGCGGGGAGGAAGGCGUUAAGGUUAAUAACCUUGGCGAUUGACGUUACCCGCAGAAGAAGCACCGGCUAACUCCGUGCCAGCAGCCGCGGUAAUACGGAGGGUGCAAGCGUUAAUCGGAAUUACUGGGCGUAAAGCGCACGCAGGCGGUCUGUCAAGUCGGAUGUGAAAUCCCCGGGCUCAACCUGGGAACUGAAUUCGAAACUGGGAGGCUAUAGUCUUGUAGAGGGGGGUAGAAUUCCAGGUGUAGCGGUGAAAUGCGUAGAGAUCUGGAGGAAUACCGGUGGCGAAAGCGGCCCCCUGGACAAAGACUGACGCUCACGUGCGAAAGCGUGUGGAGCAAACAGGAUUAGAUACCCUGGGAGUCCACGCCGUAAACGAUGUCGAUUUGGAGGUUGUGCCCUUGAGGCGUGGCUUCCGGAGCUAACGCGUUAAAUCGACCGCCUGUGGAGUACAGCCGCAAGGGUUAAAACUCACAUGAAUUGACGGGGGGCCGCACACGCGGUGGAGCAUGUGGUUUAAUUCGAUGCAACGCGAAGAGCCUUUACCUGCUCUCGACAUCCUACAGAACUUUUCAGAGAUGUGUUUGGUGUCGUUCUG
This 976-nucleotide ribosomal RNA is filed under the name Salmonella enterica subsp. enterica serovar Typhimurium. Its description in RNAcentral is "bacterial SSU rRNA". It matches the Rfam family "Bacterial small subunit ribosomal RNA", at positions 61 to 1029 of the family's 1533-position model. Lineage: Bacteria; Pseudomonadati; Pseudomonadota; Gammaproteobacteria; Enterobacterales; Enterobacteriaceae. The record is from RNAcentral.